AUGAAAUCACUUGAAUCGCUGGACCUCUCACGGAACAACUUUUCUGGUGAAAUCCCAACAAGCUUGUCAGAUUUGACUUAUUUAAGCUCCUUAGACCUGUCAUAUAACAAUCUUACAGGAAGAAUUCCAUCGGGACGCCAACUUGAUACCCUCUACUUGGAGAACCCGUCCAUAUACAUGGGCAACAUUGGUCUGUGUGGCCCUCCUCUUGAAAGGAAUUGCUCAGGAAAUAAUGCACUAGAGCAUGACAAUCAACAGAAAAUCGAGAAGGUUUCUGAGCCUGUGUUGCUCUUUUACUUUGGACUUGGGUCUGGGUUUGUGGCUGGCCUCUGGGUCGUGUUUUGUACACUACUGUUCAAGAAAGUGUGGAGAGUUGCCUAUUUUCGCCUCUUCGACAAGUUGUAUGACAAGGCAUAUGUGUUUCUGGUUGUUACCUGGGGCAGGAUAAACCACAAGGAGACAACAACUUGA
This 471-nucleotide ribosomal RNA is filed under the name Triticum aestivum (bread wheat). RNAcentral's name for it is "partial small subunit ribosomal RNA". Lineage: Eukaryota; Viridiplantae; Streptophyta; Magnoliopsida; Poales; Poaceae. The record is from RNAcentral.